Molecule: ribosomal RNA, 475 nt
Filed under: uncultured bacterium
Lineage: Bacteria
Description: bacterial SSU rRNA
Rfam family: Bacterial small subunit ribosomal RNA
Source: RNAcentral
GUUUGAUCCUGGCUCAGAUUGAACGCUGGCGGCAUGCUUUACACAUGCAAGUCGAACGGCAGCACGGGAGCAAUCCUGGUGGCGAGUGGCGAACGGGUGAGUAAUAUAUCGGAACGUGCCCAGUCUGGGGGAUAACGUAGCGAAAGCUACGCUAAUACCGCAUACGAUCUAUGGAUGAAANCGGGGGAUCGCAAGACCUCGCGCGAUUGGAGCGGCCGAUAUCAGAUUAGGUAGUUGGUGAGGUAAAGGCUCACCAAGCCGACGAUCUGUAGCUGGUCUGAGAGGACGACCAGCCACACUGGGACUGAGACACGGUCCAGACUCCUACGGGAGGCAGCAGUGGGGAAUAUUGGACAAUGGGCGAAAGCCUGAUCCAGCAAUGCCGCGUGAGUGAUGAAGGCCUUCGGGUCGUAAAGCUCUUUUACCAGGGAUGAUAAUGACAGUACCUGGAGAAUAAGCUCCGGCUAACUCCGUG